UCCUAAGGUGGAGGUGGUGCAUAGCUUUCACGAGCUCGAGGUUCAAGCGGCGAGGACUUCGAAGGGCUUGGUUGGAGCUCCGAAUAUCUGGAGACACAAGGUGGAGUGAGAUACCAAGGAAGGAUUGAAGACUAUGGUGGAAGAGUAGUUUCAGGGCAUUGGAUCGACUCAAUCUAGGAAUGGGUCAAUCCAGUCACAGGGUGUGCCAGAG
RNAcentral lists this long non-coding RNA (211 nucleotides) under Elaeis guineensis (African oil palm). Its description in RNAcentral is "long non-coding RNA (EGUI_LNC031786)". Lineage: Eukaryota; Viridiplantae; Streptophyta; Magnoliopsida; Arecales; Arecaceae. The record is from RNAcentral.